This 73-nucleotide transfer RNA is filed under the name Ciona intestinalis (vase tunicate). It matches the Rfam family "tRNA". From Rfam's summary of the family: Transfer RNA (tRNA) molecules are approximately 80 nucleotides in length. Their secondary structure includes four short double-helical elements and three loops (D, anti-codon, and T loops). Further hydrogen bonds mediate the characteristic L-shaped molecular structure. tRNAs have two regions of fundamental functional importance: the anti-codon, which is responsible for specific mRNA codon recognition, and the 3' end, to which the tRNAs corresponding amino acid is attached (by aminoacyl-tRNA synthetases). tRNAs cope with the degeneracy of the genetic code in two manners: having more than one tRNA (with a specific anti-codon) for a particular amino acid; and 'wobble' base-pairing, i.e. permitting non-standard base-pairing at the 3rd anti-codon position. The record is from Rfam by way of RNAcentral. Lineage: Eukaryota; Metazoa; Chordata; Ascidiacea; Phlebobranchia; Cionidae.
GGCACCGUAGCACAGUUGGUUAGCGCGCCUGCUUCGAACCCAGAGGUAAUGGGUUCAAGGCUCGUCGUUGCUA